AACUGAUACUACCUGCGGGAACCUGCGGAAGGAUCAUUACCGAGUUUUCAACUCCCUAACCCUUCUGUGAACCUACCUAUCGUUGCUUCGGCGGACUCGCCCCAGCCCGGACGCGGACUGGACCAGCGGCCCGCCGGGGACCUCAAACUCUUGUAUUCCAGCAUCUUCUGAAUACGCCGCAAGGCAAAACAAAUGAAUCAAAACUUUUAACAAUGGAUCUCUAGAUCGGAAGAGCACACG
This 240-nucleotide unclassified non-coding RNA is filed under the name soil metagenome. Its description in RNAcentral is "partial contains 5.8S ribosomal RNA, internal transcribed spacer 2, and large subunit ribosomal RNA". The record is from RNAcentral.